UACGUAGGGUGCAAGCGUUGUCCGGAAUUAUUGGGCGUAAAGAGCUCGUAGGCGGUUUGUUGCGUCGGCUGUGAAAUCCCGAGGCUCAACCUCGGGUCUGCAGUCGAUACGAGCAAACUAGAGUGUUGCAGGGGAGACUGGAAUUCCUGGUGUAGCGGUGAAAUUCGUAGAUAUCAGGAGGAACACCAGUCGGCGAAGGCGGCUUCCUGGACACCAA
RNAcentral lists this ribosomal RNA (217 nucleotides) under uncultured bacterium. RNAcentral's name for it is "partial 16S ribosomal RNA". It matches the Rfam family "Bacterial small subunit ribosomal RNA", at positions 524 to 739 of the family's 1533-position model. The record is from RNAcentral.